UCCAGGGUAGCCUAGUGGACAUGGCAUCUGCCCGGUAAUGCGGAACAUUGUGGGUUCGAUUCCCAUCCCUGGAC
Cordylochernes scorpioides is the source of this 74-nucleotide non-coding RNA. The record is from the annotation of a GenBank genome assembly. NCBI's taxonomy places the organism in Eukaryota, Metazoa, Arthropoda, Arachnida, Pseudoscorpiones, Chernetidae.